This 24-nucleotide small nuclear RNA is filed under the name Arabidopsis thaliana (thale cress). Its description in RNAcentral is "snRNA_09215". Lineage: Eukaryota; Viridiplantae; Streptophyta; Magnoliopsida; Brassicales; Brassicaceae. The record is from RNAcentral.
AAAGUUGAUACAAGCUACGAUAAU